Molecule: ribosomal RNA, 253 nt
Filed under: uncultured bacterium
Lineage: Bacteria
Description: partial 16S ribosomal RNA
Rfam family: Bacterial small subunit ribosomal RNA
Source: RNAcentral
UACGUAGGGGGCAAGCGUUGUCCGGAUUUAUUGGGCGUAAAGAGCGUGUAGGCGGCUCGGUAAGUCUGCUGUGAAAGUCCAGGGCUCAACCCUGGAAUGCCGGUGGAAACUGUCGAGCUAGAGUCCGGAAGAGGCGAGUGGAAUUCCUGGUGUAGCGGUGAAAUGCGCAGAUAUCAGGAGGAACACCAAUGGCGAAGGCAGCUCGCUGGGACGGUACUGACGCUGAGACGCGAAAGCGUGGGGAGCAAACAGG